Hemibagrus wyckioides is the source of this 538-nucleotide long non-coding RNA. RefSeq lists it as uncharacterized. The transcript has 4 exons. The record is from RefSeq and is a predicted model, not a curated record. Lineage: Eukaryota; Metazoa; Chordata; Actinopteri; Siluriformes; Bagridae.
CUCCUCAAAUGCAGAUACCUUUUUUACAUGUAUAAGCUCUGAUUCGAAACGCUUCAGAAUAAGGCUAUAAUUCUUGGAGAUUUCUGCCUGCAGGAAGGGAGAGUUUAGCUUUUGAAACCUGUAAAACAGACAGAAGGCAUCUGCUCCUUUGUCUUGUGGAAGCAGGACUGGUACUCCCAAAAUAGUGUUGGUCAGGAUGCCCCAAUCCUCUGUUACACAUAUUGCAGGGAUGGCACACUACUGGAAGAGCAUCCUGUGAGGUCUUCAGUGGGCUUUACCAAGCUACUCAUCUGCAGAAGAAGUACAACAAAUCUGAUUAACACUGACUGAUGAUACAAAUUAAAAAUGAGAAAUAACAACCUGCUUCCUGCUUUAAAAAGGCCAUAAUCUUUUCUGAUUUUCUAUAAUGUGUCUCUUUUUACUACUAUGGUUUCUAUAUCAUACUUCCAAUAAAAAAACAAAAAAACAAAACAAACUUUGAAGAUAAUGUACAUGGAGUGUCAAAUAUUUUUGAUAAGACGUUCUAUCUAUCUAUCUA